RNAcentral lists this ribosomal RNA (557 nucleotides) under uncultured bacterium. RNAcentral describes it as "bacterial SSU rRNA". It matches the Rfam family "Bacterial small subunit ribosomal RNA", at positions 102 to 694 of the family's 1533-position model. The record is from RNAcentral.
ACGGGUGAGUAACGCGUGGGAACAUACCCUUUGGUUCGGAAUAACUGAGAGAAAUUUCAGCUAAUACCGGAUGUGCCCUUCGGGGGAAAGAUUUAUCGCCAAAGGACUGGCCCGCGUCUGAUUAGCUAGUUGGUGAGGUAACGGCCCACCAAGGCGACGAUCAGUAGCUGGUCUGAGAGGAUGAUCAGCCACACUGGGACUGAGACACGGCCCAGACUCCUACGGGAGGCAGCAGUGGGGAAUAUUGGACAAUGGGGGCAACCCUGAUCCAGCCAUGCCGCGUGAGUGAUGAAGGCCUUAGGGUUGUAAAGCUCUUUCGUCAGGGAAGAUAAUGACGGUACCUGAAGAAGAAGCCCCGGCUAACUUCGUGCCAGCAGCCGCGGUAAUACGAAGGGGGCUAGCGUUGUUCGGAAUUACUGGGCGUAAAGCGCACGUAGGCGGACAUUUAAGUCAGGGGUGAAAUCCCAGGGCUCAACCCUGGAACUGCCUUUGAUACUGGGUGUCUUGAGUACGAGAGAGGUGAGUGGAAUUCCGAGUGUAGAGGUGAAAUUCGUAGA